GUCCACGCUGUAAACGAUGUCGACUUGGAGGUUGUUCCCUUGAGGAGUGGCUUCCGGAGCUAACGCGUUAAGUCGACCGCCUGGGGAGUACGGCCGCAAGGUUAAAACUCAAAUGAAUUGACGGGGCCCGCACAAGCGGUGGAGCAUGUGGUUUAAUUCGAUGCAACGCGAAGAACCUUACCUACUCUUGACAUCCAGAGAACUUAGCAGAGAUGCUUUGGUGCCUUCGGGAACUCUGAGACAGGUGCUGCAUGGCUGUCGU
RNAcentral lists this ribosomal RNA (262 nucleotides) under uncultured bacterium. RNAcentral's name for it is "partial 16S ribosomal RNA". It matches the Rfam family "Bacterial small subunit ribosomal RNA", at positions 793 to 1055 of the family's 1533-position model. The record is from RNAcentral.